GAUUGGUGCUUGCAUCAUGAUUUACAUUUGAGUGAGUGGCGAACUGGUGAGUAACACGUGGGAAACCUGCCCAGAAGCGGGGGAUAACACCUGGAAACAGAUGCUAAUACCGCAUAACAACUUGGACCGCAGGUCCGAGCUUGAAAGAUGGCUUCGGCUAUCACUUUUGGAUGGUCCCGCGGCGUAUUAGCUAGAUGGUGGGGUAACGGCUUCACCCAUGGGCAAUGAUACGUAGCCGACCUGAGAGGGUAAUCGGCCACAUUGGGACUGAGACACGGCCCAAACUCCUACGGGAGGCAGCAGUAGGGAAUCUUCCACAAUGGACGAAAGUCUGAUGGAGCAACGCCGCGUGAGUGAAGAAGGGUUUCGGCUCGUAAAACUCUGUUGUUAAAGAAGAACAUAUCUGAGAGUAACUGUUCAGGUAUUGACGGUAUUUAACCAGAAAGCCACGGCUAACUACGUGCCAGCAGCCGCGGUAAUACGUAGGUGGCAAGCGUUGUCCGGAUUUAUUGGGCGUAAAGCGAGCGCAGGCG
RNAcentral lists this ribosomal RNA (533 nucleotides) under Lactobacillus sp. G1. RNAcentral describes it as "bacterial SSU rRNA". It matches the Rfam family "Bacterial small subunit ribosomal RNA", at positions 71 to 577 of the family's 1533-position model. Lineage: Bacteria; Bacillati; Bacillota; Bacilli; Lactobacillales; Lactobacillaceae. The record is from RNAcentral.